RNAcentral lists this ribosomal RNA (433 nucleotides) under uncultured bacterium. Its description in RNAcentral is "partial 16S ribosomal RNA". It matches the Rfam family "Bacterial small subunit ribosomal RNA", at positions 29 to 507 of the family's 1533-position model. The record is from RNAcentral.
AACGAACGCUGGCGGCAUGCCUAACACAUGCAAGUCGAACGAGACCUUCGGGUCUAGUGGCGCACGGGUGCGUAACGCGUGGGAACCUGCCCUUAGGUUCGGAAUAACUCCCCGAAAGGGGUGCUAAUACCGGAUAAUGUCUUCGGACCAAAGAUUUAUCGCCUUUGGAUGGUCCCGCGUUGGUUUAGCUAGUUGGUAGGGUAAAAGCAUACCAAGGCGACGAUCCAUAGCUGGUCUGAGAGGAUGAUCAGCCACACUGGGACUGAGACACGGCCGAGACUCCUACGGGAGGCAGCAGUGGGGAAUGUUGGACAAUGGGCGAAAGCCUGAUCCAGCAAUGCCGCGUGAGUGAUGAAGGCCUUAGGGUUGGAAAGCUCUUUUACCCGGGAUGAUAAUGACAGUACCGGGAGAAUAAGCUCCGGCUAACUCCGUG